This is a long non-coding RNA of Centropristis striata (black sea bass), 3038 nucleotides long. RefSeq lists it as uncharacterized. Lineage: Eukaryota; Metazoa; Chordata; Actinopteri; Perciformes; Serranidae. The record is from RefSeq and is a predicted model, not a curated record. The transcript has 4 exons.
GGAGCUGCACAGGACGAGUCAGCUGCUGCAAUUAAGAAAGUUUGGUGAAGACAGACACAGAGACUGAGAAGGAGAGAGAGAUAGCGGGCUUGCUGUGUGUUCAGGAUGAUUUUUAUUCCGCAGUGCAAAAAGUUUAAAAGUGAAAGAAAGUGUGUCAGUGUUGGGUGCAGAUGCGCGCCUCGCAAAUGUUUGAAAAAGAAAAAGAAAAAAAGACGUGCAAAGUUUGAACCUGACCGCCUGUGAUGUGGGGAGUAUCCAGUGACACAGGUAUGGCCACUACCUUGGUGAUAAGACUUUGAUCGACAGGCCUCUUCAGUCUGCACUGGAACCAGCUUUUAGGAGAGUACAUUUGCAGUGAAGACUUUCUGAUGAAGAGAAGGAAGGCUGACAAACUGAAAGACAGAGGCAGAAGGAGAGUGGUGCAGUUGGCUGUGCUCUCCACUAGAGGGCGCCUCCUCCCCGCAGUGAGCAGCCUCCUCCCUGCACCACUAUUUUUCUCUGCUACAAUCCUUCAACUUUACCUGCGUCUGAAUUCCCUUCAGUCCACUUUAAACCGUGUUUUCGACGCUUUUUCUGUAAAAUUUCGAUCCAGCAUGAAAAUAACCACAACCAGUUACUGUUUGAUAUCAUUAUCACAGAGUCUGUGUCACAGUAUGUAGCCAUAUUUUAUUUUCAGACGACCAUUUUAUAAGAAAAUGACACGUUUUCCCCACAGAAUAAUUACAAUAUAUAUUACAAAUAACAUGUAUUUAGGUUCUGAUGGUGAAGCUGUGUCGCUUAGUGUUAAUGUAAAGUAUUUUAUUAUUGCAUAAUGGUGUUUGUUCUUUUUCUUGCAUAGCCUAGGCAAUUACUAAUAUUCCUACAAACUCAAUCACGGUGUUUUUUUAAACUAAAAAUACAAGCAUGCUCUUCUAUUCAUUGUUCGGUUUUAUUUAAUAAGUCACACAAUAUAGAUUUUGGUAUUAUAAAAUACUAUUUUUGUUUUACAGCAGACCUCGUGUGUCCUGCUUCGUGUUGCCGUAACAUUGAUGAGAAAAUGCGUCAUUUUCUUACUUUGUCACGUUUCUCAGCAGGAUUUUAAGACAUCCACAUCUCACAUGUGAUUUUUUAUCAAACGAAAAAAUACACAAUAGUUUUCCAACAUGGCUUUAUGAAUUAGUAUUUGACCUACAUGUCACAUCCAUCCCUUUCAGAGCAAUAAACAACCAACAAUAACUAAACCUAAAAUGCCUUUUGUGCAGUUUGUUUAUGAUCAUAUUAUGAUAUUCAGCGUGCUGUUGAUGGGAAGGAAAGGGGGGGAUAUUUUUAAACAAAUUAGAAUAUUUGUGAUUUGCAACAAACGUGUUUAAUAUGCUACAGAGGCACGACUUCGCUAGAAAUCCUGCUAUAAACGUAGCUGACGUCGCCACUUUAGAUGAGUUUUUAUAAAAAUCAGAAGCAGAAAAUUGAUCUGUUUUUCAUAUUUAAUAGCAGCAUAAAGAAGCCUAUCUUCAACCCCAACAUUAAAAAAUAACCGUGGACACUUUUUAAAACGUAAAUAAAAGCAGAAUGCCUCAAACUCAAGAGUUCAGUGUGUGUGUAAAUCCCCUCCAAAACUACAUUUUCAUCAAUUUGAGGAUUUAAUAUAUUGUCUUUGUACUAUAUUGGGUGUAGGUCGAGAAUGAUUGCAUUGUUUUUAUUUCUGUAGCCUACUUCACAGCGUCCCACUCGUUUUGAAUCGGGCUUGCAGCUGCAUUUAUUAUUCUGCCGCGUCUGGAAAGCAAUAUAAAAUCAUCUGCAGCUGUAGAAAACAGUCUAAUACGUAUUAUUAUUUAGUAUGAUGUAUAAUUAGACCAUAAGUGAGUGUAAUUUCCGAAUGAAUGUGCUUCUGCUGAUCAGCUGAUCGUAUUUGGAUCCAGUUUAAAUUGAGACAUAAUGGCCUGUAAAACAUGUCCGCAGAGCUAAAAAGAAGGAAAAAUAGAAUGAUGUUAAAUAAAGUCCAAAUUGACAAGUCUUUAACUUUUUUAGCGUCUUAAAUCUAGUUUGAUCAUCUUCGACGCUUCAUGUGCGACUCUGCGGGGAUUUGCGGCGACUCUUUGCUCUUUAAUGCGUUUAUUUUGCGGUAUUUAUCUAUUUUUUAUUCUUAUUAUGACUCCAUACCGUCGUUACUUUAUUUAUUAUGCAUCUCGUCACAGCAGCAUGUUAUUUAAAUGAGAGAUAUAGGCUAAAGAAUAAAGGUCGGCAGAAGUUUGCUUUAUUCAUCUAUUAAAUCAGGCUUUAUCCCAAACCAGAGGAACUCCAUGCGGAUAAUUUAACGCUGCGUGUUUAUUAGAUAAAAUGCGUCAUAAUUAAAUCUGGAAUUAAGAGAUUUUGAUCCUUAAAUAACGGUUUAGUUCUUUCCAACAAUCUUAAUGAUUAAAGUAAAACCACAAAAUAUCACGAUGUAAUUUGCCUUGUUAAACAUGUGAGUUUGUGGAUGUUGUUGACAGGUAGUUUAUCUCUCUGUAAACAUCAAAACAACAAGAAGCCAUAAUCUAAAUGUCACAGGCCAAUAAACUUCCUGUGUGAGUUUUGACAUUUUGGGCUUGUUUUUUUUCCUGCUCAUCGUUUCCAACCCAGGGGAGGAAAUUCAGUCAAGUCACACAAGCAGGAAUUAAUAAAGAAAUAUAGAUGGGGUUUUAAUAUAUAUAAACAAAAAACCCAUUUGAAGUUGUUAAGUGAUGUAUGGUGUUUGAUUUUUGUGUUUAUUUUUAAAUAAGUCAUUGAAAAAGAGUGAGAAUUGUCUCCUAGCACGUUUAUUUAAUAGAAUUAAUGUUUAAUAAUGUAUCUAUUUUCCUGUUUGAUUAAAGAAUAUGUGUUUAACUUUUGGCUAAAAUAGUAGAUAAGAAAGAAUACCAGAAACUAACUAAAUGCCUCAUCUUCAAUAUGUGGAAAACAUGUCAGUAAAAUCCAGAAACGGAUGUAAACAUGUUUAAACAAACAGCCAGUUGUGAAAUCAACUUCAGCAUUUUGAAUUUCAUUUUCUUUGAACUUUGAAUAUAUAAAGUUUCACAUCUUAA